UAUAUGGACAUAAUUCAACAGAUAGUAUAUAGUGAGCUACAAACUUCAUCAAUAGAUUCACAUAAUGUUCUCUUCUCGUAAGGGCAAUCUUUUUUGAUUUAUCUUCUCUUGUGCAUACUAUAUCUUCGUUCUCCAUCCAUUCUUUAGCAUAUCUUACCAUGGCAUGCUGUUUCCUAGUGUCGUUCUUAUUUCGUGCUUUGGUGUUCCUGAGGAUUAACUCCCAUCGUAUCUUUUCUUUGUGUAAUUCAUCAUACUCUUCUAACAAAUGAUCAAUGUGGGGUGCAAGAUCGGAGCAACGUGGGUUCUCUUCCGUAACAGCCAUCAGGCCCUUGAGGAUCAGAUCGUGGACAGGCUGCGGAACUUCAAUAUCCCCUAUCACAACUGCUACGUCGUUCAGGUUAAGGCUAGGUGUUCUGCUUCUAGUACAUUGUUUCUGAAAUAUCCAUUUGAGCUUCUUCACAUAGUUGGUCCUAAUCUAAUUUUUCACAAAAUGGCAAGAUAAAGCC
RNAcentral lists this long non-coding RNA (506 nucleotides) under Androctonus crassicauda. Lineage: Eukaryota; Metazoa; Arthropoda; Arachnida; Scorpiones; Buthidae. The record is from RNAcentral.